GAUAAACGCUAGCGGCAGGCUUAACACAUGCAAGUCGAGGGGCAGCAUAGAUUGUAGCAAUACAAUUGGUGGCGAGCGGCGCACGGGUGCGUAACGCGUAUGCAACCUACCCGUCACAGGGGGAUAAUCCGGAGAAAUCUGGUCUAAUACCCCAUAACAUAUGGAUCGGCAUCGGUUCAUGUUGAAAUUUUCGGAGGUGACGGAUGGGCAUGCGUAGCAUUAGCUUGUUGGUUAGGUAACGGCUCACCAAGGCGACGAUGCUUAGGGGGACUGAGAGGUUUUCCCCCCACACUGGUACUGAGACACGGACCGGACUCCUACGGGAGGCAGCAGUGAGGAAUAUUGGUCAAUGGGCGCAAGCCUGAACCAGCCAUGCCGCGUGCAGGAUGACGGCUCUAUGAGUUGUAAACUGCUUUUGUACGAGGGUAAAGUGGGUUACGUGUAACCUUUUGAAAGUAUCGUACGAAUAAGGAUCGGCUAACUCCGUGCCAGCAGCCGCCGUAA
This 504-nucleotide ribosomal RNA is filed under the name uncultured bacterium. RNAcentral describes it as "partial 16S ribosomal RNA". It matches the Rfam family "Bacterial small subunit ribosomal RNA", at positions 28 to 523 of the family's 1533-position model. The record is from RNAcentral.